This 734-nucleotide ribosomal RNA is filed under the name uncultured Atopobium sp. Its description in RNAcentral is "bacterial SSU rRNA". It matches the Rfam family "Bacterial small subunit ribosomal RNA", at positions 28 to 776 of the family's 1533-position model. The record is from RNAcentral. Lineage: Bacteria; Bacillati; Actinomycetota; Coriobacteriia; Coriobacteriales; Atopobiaceae.
GAUGAACGCGGCGGCGCGCCUAACACAUGCAAGUCGAACGAUUAAAGCACCUUCGGGUGUGUAUAAAGUGGCGAACGGCUGAGUAACACGUGGGCAACCUGCCCCUCUCAUUGGGAUAGCCACGGGAAACCGUGGAUAAUACCGAAUACUUCGGGACUUCCGCAUGGAAGACUCGAGAAAGCUCCGGCGGAGAGGGAUGGGCCCGCGGCCUGUUAGCUUGUUGGUGGGGUAACGGCCUACCAAGGCAAUGAUGGGUAGCUGGGUUGAGAGACCGACCAGCCAGAUUGGGACUGAGACACGGCCCAGACUCCUACGGGAGGCAGCAGUGGGGAAUCUUGCACAAUGGGCGAAAGCCUGAUGCAGCGACGCCGCGUGCGGGAUGAAGGCCUUCGGGUUGUAAACCGCUUUCAGCAGGGACGAGGCGAAAGUGACGGUACCUGCAGAAGAAGCCCCGGCUAACUACGUGCCAGCAGCCGCGGUAAUACGUAGGGGGCAAGCGUUAUCCGGAUUCAUUGGGCGUAAAGCGCUCGUAGGCGGUCUGUUAGGUCGGGAGUUAAAUCCGGGGGCUCAACCCCCGUUCGCUCCCGAUACCGGCAGACUUGAGUUUGGUAGGGGAAGGUGGAAUUCCUAGUGUAGCGGUGGAAUGCGCAGAUAUUAGGAAGAACACCAGUGGCGAAGGCGGCCUUCUGGGCCAUAACUGACGCUGAGGAGCGAAAGCUAGGGGAGCAAACAGG